UACGGAGGGUGCAAGCGUUAUCCGGAUUUACUGGGUUUAAAGGGUGCGUAGGUGGACAAUUAAGUCAGUGGUGAAAUCUCCGGGCUUAACCCGGAAACUGCCAUUGAUACUACUUGUCUUGAAUACUUUGGAGGUAAGCGGAAUAUGUCAUGUAGCGGUGAAAUGCUUAGAUAUGACAUAGAACACCAAUUGCGAAGGCAGCUUACUACACAGUAAUUGACACUGAGGCACGAAAGCGUGGGGAUCAAACAGG
This 253-nucleotide ribosomal RNA is filed under the name uncultured bacterium. RNAcentral's name for it is "partial 16S ribosomal RNA". It matches the Rfam family "Bacterial small subunit ribosomal RNA", at positions 524 to 776 of the family's 1533-position model. The record is from RNAcentral.